RNAcentral lists this ribosomal RNA (253 nucleotides) under uncultured bacterium. Its description in RNAcentral is "partial 16S ribosomal RNA". It matches the Rfam family "Bacterial small subunit ribosomal RNA", at positions 524 to 776 of the family's 1533-position model. The record is from RNAcentral.
UACGAAGGGGGCUAGCGUUACUCGGAAUUAUUGGGCGUAAAGCGUGCGCAGGCGGUUUGAUAAGUCGGGAGUGAAAGCCUUGAGCUCAACUCAAGAAUUGCUUUCGAAACUAUCAAACUUGAGUAUUGGAGGGGAUAGCGGAAUUCCUAGUGUAGGGGUGAAAUCCGUAGAUAUUAGGAGGAACACCGGUGGCGAAAGCGGCUAUCUGGACAAUAACUGACGCUGUUGCACGAAAGCGUGGGGAGCAAACAGG